UUGUUCCUACGGGGGGCAGCAGUGAGGAAUAUUGGUCAAUGGCCGGAAGGCUGAACCAGCCAAGCCGCGUGAAGGACGAAGGUGCCAAGCAUUGUAAACUUCUUUUGUCAAGGGACAAAAUCAGGCUCGAGGGCCUGACCGAGGGUACUUGAAGAAAAAGCAUCGGCUAACUCCGUGCCAGCAGCCGCGGUAAUACGGAGGAUGCGAGCGUUAUCCGGAUUUAUUGGGUUUAAAGGGUGCGCAGGCGGGAGAUCAAGUCAGCGGUAAAAUGUCGGGGCUCAACCCCGGCCGGCCGUUGAAACUGG
Molecule: ribosomal RNA, 305 nt
Filed under: uncultured bacterium
Lineage: Bacteria
Description: bacterial SSU rRNA
Rfam family: Bacterial small subunit ribosomal RNA
Source: RNAcentral